Lacerta agilis (Sand lizard) is the source of this 751-nucleotide long non-coding RNA. RefSeq lists it as uncharacterized. Lineage: Eukaryota; Metazoa; Chordata; Lepidosauria; Squamata; Lacertidae. The record is from RefSeq and is a predicted model, not a curated record. The transcript has 3 exons.
UGUUUGUUAGCAAUUUUCUGUUUCUACCAGGAAAAAAUUGAAGAUAUUUAUGAUUUGAACUUCUAGGCUUCUUAUCCAGACACUCAAAAAAGCCUCCAGGAAAGAGAAUGACACAUGCAUGAAUAUCACUUGAUCUCUCAUAACUUGGAGCCUAGGCUGAAUGUGUAAAGUGCCAUCAUGGACAAACAUUACAUUUGAGGUUCGUUUGUCUAUUAAGUGCUUAGAACACACUGCCAAGGUUGUAUAUGCAGCAUGUUACUGUUUCCCAUUCCAUGUAAUACAAGUCUUCAAAUGAAGUGGCCCUGGGUGCCCAGGCAGUGCGCCAAGAGGAAGGCUACAUUGAACAGAGAUCCAAACGAAUGGAACCUUAGUACUGAAAUGAAAUCCAUGAAAGCUCUAGAAGCAGAGUACAAAUUGUUCAGCACUACUGCAUUUUGGCCUGCAAGAAAGGGGAUGUGCUGGAAAAGUGAAAGUCACAUCUUGCCAAAUCCUAGACAUUAUCAAAGCUUUGCCUCUCCCUCUCCACAUGUGAGUAGACAAAACAUAUUUAGGGCAGAUGCUUAUGUUACAGCAGUUAGCACUGUUACUAUACUCCACUGGCUGAUUUCCACAUCACUCUGUUAAAGUAGGAUUAUAUUUCUCUGCCAAUACCUUUCCCCAAUCUAGUUUUCUUACAAUGGCAUAUUUUUCCCUACACUAUCCCAUGCUCCCAAAUAGUUUUCGCAUUUUUACUUAACGAGAGCUACAUGAC